CCCUCUCUUGUUCUGGGAGGGUUUGCAUUUGUGUAUGAAGCUCAAGAUGUGGGGAGUGGCAGAGAGUAUGCAUUAAAGAGGCUAUUAUCCAAUGAAGAGGAAAAGAACAGAGCCAUCAUUCAAGAAGUUUGCUUCAUGAAAAAGCUUUCCGGCCACCCGAACAUUGUCCAGUUUUGUUCUGCAGCGUCUAUAGGAAAAGAGGAGUCA
RNAcentral lists this long non-coding RNA (207 nucleotides) under Homo sapiens (human). RNAcentral's name for it is "HSALNT0067860". The record is from RNAcentral. Lineage: Eukaryota; Metazoa; Chordata; Mammalia; Primates; Hominidae.